This is a long non-coding RNA of Acanthaster planci (crown-of-thorns starfish), 2691 nucleotides long. RefSeq lists it as uncharacterized. The record is from RefSeq and is a predicted model, not a curated record. Lineage: Eukaryota; Metazoa; Echinodermata; Asteroidea; Valvatida; Acanthasteridae.
UAGUCUGGUUCUUUGAAUUUAACGUUUUCCAAUAAAUACACUACGUUGGGGAAUAUGACCGAAAUUGUGUUUGAUUCAAGGCCAAGUGCCAGAGUUCACGCAUUAUAAUACCUGUGGCAGUUUUUUUAUUUAAUGACUGGUUUAUCAUUCCAAUAAGGAUCUAAAAACUCCAGAGUGUGCCUAAUUUUACACCUUGGAAGAAGCAGAGGUUGUUCAGAUGAUACAGACAUACAAGCCACUUUCCAACGCAUAAGGAGGAAGAAGAGCACUCGGUCCCGGAUACAAUACAUUCAUGCUCGAUAAAGAAAAAAACAAUGAUAAAAUGCCCAAUUUUAAUGGUGAAAUGCUAUUCCAUACCACCUAAUUAAAAUUUCAAUCCAAAAUAAUGCUGUUUAAUACAUUCAUCUGAUUAUCGUGCCGAUUUUCUUUCCUUUAUUGUGCUUGCUUUAUAAGCUUUAAGGUAAUUAUGUUGAACAUGCAAAGUGUCUUUCUAGUCAUAGCUCACCUUAGGCAUUUAUACAAACGCUGUUACUACAAAAUUACAAAUAUUAAUUACAAUAAACAUGAGGCCAAUAUAAUCCAACGAUCCACAUAUGUUCACAGCUAACGGAACUGACCAUCUUCUCACAAUUAAUAACCAACAUUUGCCUUGCUGUGUUUGUAUCGAAGGUUGACUGUAAUUCAAUCUGUUUCAUGUUCCUGGCAACACUAAUGACAAACAUGAGCAUUUUGUUUCUGUUAUAUCCAGGGUUAUCGACUCGGGGAUGAUGCCAAUCCUGUAGCCCAUCGCUUAGCCGAUUAUGAGGGGUAGGAGUAGGAUUGGCAAACGGAUUGAACAUCACAAGAUGCUGGAGAGAAGAUUGUGGCAGACAAGAGGAGACUUGACCCAGAUUUAGACGGAAUUGGAAAAAAAUGUGACAAAUGCGAGGAGUUUACGAUGAUUGCCUCGUGUCCUGUGCUUAUCGCUGACAAGGGACCUAAAAGAGGUGGUUACUGUCAAGGCCCAAGCUGAUGUAAAACAGGCCGAGUUUAGCGCACAGGCUUCUGCAAAUCACUCCGAAGUUCAGUCAUUCCGUCUAGUCUUGCGGCCUACAUGAUAAUCGUUUACAAGGGGUCUCCUGUGCCUGGAUGACGGACCGUCGGCGGGGUUUAACCCGGCUGGAUAAGGCCAGGGGAUUUACACGGUCGAGGGCCUAGCAUUUCCGAUCAGGGAGAUUGAAACUAGCGAGGACUCUCAAAGAGUCAAGAAAUCGAGAUGGACGGGUGUGCGCUCAGGGAUAACUCAAAAUAUCAUGCACUUGGAGGAAACGCUGGAAAGGAACACGCUUCACAGCCCCACGAUCUGUUCCUUGCAUCACUUCAUUGGUUUCAUCAUUGGAGACUCGGACGCCUGAGAGCUGCUUCAGUUGAGGAAUAUUGCCAUCACUGCAGCUGUGAUGCAGGUCUCCAAAGGCUCGCUAGUAAUUGCACGGAUACAGGCCACCGCGACAGAAUUAUUUUCUCAAGCAGGUGGAAGCAUUAAGUGAAGCCAGUUGAAACCCAGCGCACUCUUGACUCUGCAGUAGUUCACGCAACCUUGACUUCUGUCUCCUCCCUGUAAAAUGCUAAUUGUGAUCAUCGACCUACAGUCGGCGCCUCGAGCGAGACUUGCCUUUAUUGGCAUAAUAAAUCACUCCACUCUCCUGGGAACCAGACUACACGGUCGCUUGCUUCAGACGGUAACGUCAACAUCACAGGUCAAAGCAGAGGCAUACGGGGGCUUAUAAAAUGGUGAACCGAAAAGGUUAAAAAUCGUUGAAUGAAAGCAGAGGUUCACUUCUGCCUGUUUUGAGGCUUUCUGAGACUGAUUCAUUCAUGCUCAUCAGACCACCUGUAUUUUUAGAAAUGUCUUUCACCAACUGAAGCCCGUGUGAGGUUUAAAUGUCAUUUAAAACAAGUGCUUUAUGUGCUCUUGCUCAAUGGUUUAUAGAGUCCUGGUCCAUACUCCGUCCAUGAAUACAAAAUGUCCCUGGAAAGCUGCUUUCAGAGACUGGAAACAAGGCCACGUAACAGGCGUAAGUUUUACCCUGCUAUCCCUGAACGUAUCAGUGAAGGCAUCAGGUCCCCUUAGGGCCUUCAUAGCCAAUUAAAAACAGAUCCCGACUUCCAGUCGUCUUGAGGUGGUCUCAUCUCAACCUUCCAUCCUAAUUAAUGCCUCUGGUCAAGCAGACAAUCCUCGUUUGUUUUCCUUUGAUCGUCCUUUUCAUUUCCAAAGGAUGUAAAUCGUUGGCCGGGAGGGGAGUGCAUGUGAUUGAAAGAUGUGAAGCGCCUUCUGUCUGUAAUUACUCUUUUAAUGAUGAAUUCCCACAGGAAGCAGAAGUAAACAAUUACCAAAAGGUACACUUCGAUUGUCUGAUUCUGUGUUCAAUUUAUGUCCCUGAUCUUAUCCAGUCAACCAAAUACAUGUACAUGUCUCCUUAUGUAAGGGUGCUCAUCAAUAUUUAUUUCAAGAAAAAGCCACAUUACUAAGCGAGACUCGGAAAUCAGUGAGAAAGCAGGAGAAACUAUUUUGAUCAUCUACAGGGUAUGUAUUCUGAAGUCAAAACAAACGUAUUUUAAUCAUCUCUGAGACAUGUGGAUUACAAUUUUCAUCAAUACUCAAAUGUGAAAAUUUUUACAAAUUCCGCAAGGGGUUAGCCUUGCAAAAAAUGA